RNAcentral lists this signal recognition particle RNA (293 nucleotides) under Papio anubis (olive baboon). RNAcentral describes it as "Metazoan signal recognition particle RNA (ENSPANG00000013878.3)". It matches the Rfam family "Metazoan signal recognition particle RNA". From Rfam's summary of the family: The signal recognition particle (SRP) is a universally conserved ribonucleoprotein. It is involved in the co-translational targeting of proteins to membranes. The record is from Rfam by way of RNAcentral. Lineage: Eukaryota; Metazoa; Chordata; Mammalia; Primates; Cercopithecidae.
GCUGGCAUGUUCCUGUAGUCCUAGCUACUUGGGAGGCUGAGGCGGGAGGAUCGCUUGAGCCCAGGAGUUCUGGGCUGUAGUGCGCUAUGCUGCUAUGCUAAUCAGGUGGCCGGUUCGGCAUCAGUAUGGUGACCUCCUGGGAGCAGGGGACCACCAGGUUGCCUAAGGAAGUCAGAAAUGGAGCAGGUCAGAAAUGGAGCAUGUCAAAACUCUCAUGCUGAUCAGUGGUGGGAUCAUGCCUUUGAAUAGCUACUGUACUCUAGCCUGGGCAAUGUAGUGAGACCCCACCCCAU